UUCAUAUGACUAUUUGUGCUUAAAAUUAGGGCAGGCACUCGAGAACUCUGCUGAAUCAGGGCCUUGAUUAUUGGUACCAGUAAUGAAUGCAGACAUUUGGGAAGGUAUGUUUCAUUGCUGCCAUCAUGUUUUAUUUUUGGAGAUAUUAAAGAAAGAUAUCAAGAAGAUAUAAAACAAGUAAUUAAAUUCCUGUUUUGUGUAAUGCAGAGCAAAUAUUUGCUUCAAGUUUUAUGGGCAUUUUGCAAAUCAAAAUCAUAAAGGCAGAUGAGCUUUUGUCUAAAAAAGGCAUGCUGAUAGCUCAGCAGAAAAUAAUAAGAGUUUGUUUUUGGAAGGAAAAACCAAACCCUGACAUGAGCCACAAAUACAUUUCAUUAGGCGACACUAAUAGGGGCUGUCAGGUGCCUUCAGUAGCAGCAAACAUCCUCUCAUGUCUCAAGUUUGUGUGGAAGUCAAGAGCAGAGACUUAGCUCAGAUAAGAUAUUUGAUUUGUGUUUGCUCAGGAAAAUGCUCUGACAGUUUAGCUAAAAGGAAUUUGUAUUGAAUUGGAGUAAAACUUGGACUAGAUAACAGCCAAGAGAAUACUGGGGCUGGGCUGGACCCAGCAUUAGACAAUGGAAACGAGCUGGUGAACAAGUUACUGGGGAGUAUUCACUGAAGCACGUUUUUCUUUCUUUCUUUCUUUCUCACAUGGACCUUACAGAAAGUGAAAUUCAAAAUGCCAAAACUGCCUGGUUUGGACACAGUAAAAAAAUCCCAUGAGCAAUAAAUUCUUUUCCUCAGAUAAAUUAACCCUGUGGUGGAGUAAAACACAUCCCCUCUUUGCCUCUGAAUUCUGCACUAUAGAUGACAAAGAGAAAAGGCAGGUUGAAACAAUGAAGUAGCCUAAGUAAUGCACAGAGCAGACAUGGAUUUAUAGCUGAAGCACCAUCCUUCACCUGGGUGCAAGGGCUGCACUGCCACCACUGCGCUCCAAACCCACCCUGCUGCAGGUUCCUCUCACAUCACAGCACCAUGGAGUAACAAAUCUGGCCAUGAAGCAUCCUCCCACUAGCACAGGAAACCCUCUGCUGUCCCCACGGAGUAGGGUUUUGUGCCUCAGCAGAAAGAACAGAAUGAUAAUCAGAAAGCCCAAGUACCAUCCUUGGUUCCAGGCUACUGACCUGCCAUAUCCUUUGGAAAAAGUCCCUUCCCUCAUCCUUGCUUUGUUUCCCUUUUCAUAUUCAGUGUGUGUUUUGUUUCUAGAAUAAAGUUUCCUGGGUAGGUAUUUCUCCACCCAUGUUACUCUAGAAAUUACAGUUUAACUUUGCUUCUGUAUUGAGCUACUGAAGAAUCAUUUUUGUUAAGCAUCCUCCUUUCCUUCUGUUAUAAAGCCUUCUGGUUUGUACUAGAACACUAAUAAAAUUCUCCUGCCAUUGC
Long non-coding RNA from Passer domesticus (house sparrow), 1416 nucleotides. RefSeq lists it as uncharacterized. The transcript has 3 exons. The record is from RefSeq and is a predicted model, not a curated record. Lineage: Eukaryota; Metazoa; Chordata; Aves; Passeriformes; Passeridae.